UGAGAGGCAUCUCUUGAAUAUCAAAGGUGAGCCAGUACAGGAUGGACCCGCGUCUGAUUAGCUAGUUGGUAAGGUAACGGCUUACCAAGGCGACGAUCAGGAGCCGACCUGAGAGGGUGAUCGGCCACAUUGGAACUGAGACACGGUCCAAACUCCUACGGGAGGCAGCAGUGGGGAAUAUUGCACAAUGGGCGAAAGCCUGAUGCAGCAACGCCGCGUGAGUGAUGAAGGCCUUCGGGUCGUAAAACUCUGUC
This 254-nucleotide ribosomal RNA is filed under the name Clostridioides difficile. Its description in RNAcentral is "partial 16S ribosomal RNA". It matches the Rfam family "Bacterial small subunit ribosomal RNA", at positions 182 to 437 of the family's 1533-position model. Lineage: Bacteria; Bacillati; Bacillota; Clostridia; Peptostreptococcales; Peptostreptococcaceae. The record is from RNAcentral.